This 449-nucleotide ribosomal RNA is filed under the name uncultured bacterium. Its description in RNAcentral is "bacterial SSU rRNA". It matches the Rfam family "Bacterial small subunit ribosomal RNA", at positions 355 to 825 of the family's 1533-position model. The record is from RNAcentral.
UGGGGAAUAUUGCGCAAUGGGGGAAACCCUGACGCAGCGACGCCGCGUGUGGGAUGAAGGUCUUCGGAUUGUAAACCACUGUCGCGAGGGACGAAGCUCUGACGGUACCUCGAAAGGAAGCACCGGCUAACUCUGUGCCAGCAGCCGCGGUAAUACAGAGGGUGCGAGCGUUGUCCGGAAUCACUGGGCGUAAAGGGCGCGUAGGCGGCCCGGUAAGUAGGGGGUGAAAUCUCAUGGCUCAACUGUGAGGCUGCCUUCUAGACUGCCAGGCUUGAGCACAGUAGAGGCGAGUGGAAUUCCCGGUGUAGCGGUGGAAUGCGUAGAGAUCGGGAAGAACAUCAGUGGCGAAGGCGGCUCGCUGGGCUGUUGCUGACGCUGAGGCGCGAAAGCGUGGGGAGCAAACAGGAUUAGAUACCCCUGUAGUCCCUGAGCGGGCUGGCAAGGCGCAU